GUUUCCCGUAAGGCGCCGAAUGAGUCAUUAAAAAAUUAACAUCAUCCGAUCCCUAGUCGGCAUAGUUUAUGGUUAAGACUACGACGGUAUCUGAUCGUCUUCGAUCCCCUAACUUUCGUUCUUGAUUAAUGAAAACAUCCUUGGCAAAUGCUUUCGCAGUAGUUAGUCUUCAAUAAAUCCAAGAAUUUCACCUCUGACAAUUGAAUACUAAUGCCCCCAACUAUCCCUAUUAAUCAUUACAUCGAUCCUAGAAACCAACAAAAUAGAAUCGGAUGUCCUAUUUCAUUAUUCCAUGCUAAUGUAUUCAAGCGUGAGCCUGCUUUAAACACUCUAAUUUUUUCAAGGUAACAGUCCUAAUUCCCCGUAACACCAAAUUAAUGGCAUCACGGUUCUUUAGAAGGUGAGAAAUCAAUGAUAACAGUGCAUACCAACGGCAUGACCGAAAUAUUGAUCCCGAAAUUCAACUACGAGCUUUUUAACUGCAACAACUUUAAUAUACGCUAUUGGAGCUGGAAUUACCGCGGCUGCUGGCACCAGACUUGCCCUCCAAA
Molecule: ribosomal RNA, 551 nt
Filed under: uncultured Glomus
Lineage: Eukaryota; Fungi; Glomeromycota; Glomeromycetes; Glomerales; Glomeraceae
Description: partial 18S ribosomal RNA
Source: RNAcentral